Molecule: long non-coding RNA, 11963 nt
Filed under: Oryza sativa (Asian cultivated rice)
Lineage: Eukaryota; Viridiplantae; Streptophyta; Magnoliopsida; Poales; Poaceae
Description: long non-coding RNA (OSAT_LNC001032)
Rfam family: tRNA (bases 8942-9013)
Source: RNAcentral
CCUCCCCCCUCUCCAUCUCUGGCGCAUCAAGGCAAGUAGUGGAGCUCGUCGUCGAUCUCGCCGCCUCCACGGCGAGCUCGCAACGGCGGGCGAUCCGCGCACACGCUCGCCAUAUAGGAGGAGCACGAGCGCGCCCAGCAUGGAGGCGGAAACGAGAGAGGCGUCGCCGCUCACACGCUCGUCGGGGGAGGAGUGCGGUGGUCGUUCACGGCGCCGGCAGGGAGAGUCGUGGGAGGGUCGCCGAGGGAUCUCGAGACGGCGGCGAGCAGAACCGCCUCGACUUCUCCGCCGUCACGCUCGCCUCACCUCCUCCACUACGCUUGCAGAGCCAACCUCGCCGCCACCUCGCCUCGCCUCCUCCACCGCCUGUUAGGAUCCGCCGCCUCCUCCUUGCUCGGCUCUCCCGACGGCACCACAGAGAAAGAGAGAGGGAACGAGGUGGAGAGAGAACCUCGCCGCCACCUCGCCUCCUGCGCCGCGACCCUGCCCGCUGCCCGUUCACGCACGCCCGAGAGAGAAGAGAGGGGAGGGGGAAGAGGGGUACUAACAGGUGGGUCCUAUAUUUUCUUUUAUUUCUUUUUGCUGAUUGUAUUUUCACGUCGGUGCAACGUGUAGAAGAAAAACCGCUCAGGAUUGAGUCAAGGGGUAAUUUAUCCGGUAUCAAUAGUUUGAGGUGUAAUAUGUCCGAUUUUGUGGUUCGGGGGGUAAUUCGUGUUGUCGCAAUAGUUUAGGGAGGUAAUUCAUACUUUUUCCUAUUUUUAAAUCUGUAGUUUUAUGAUAUAUUGAUCAAAAUACAUGUAGUUUUGUGAAAUUACUCAAUAAAAUUCAAUGAUUGUGACUGUUUUGCGUGCAAAUUAGGAGUACCGAACCAACUACCACAAGUGUAGCGCAGUGUAGCACAGUAGCGAAGCCAACUAGCCAAGCCACCCCCAAAGUCCAAGCUGGCUUCAGUCAAGCAGGCGCAUGAGCAGAUAAGGCGCGCGCCACGUCCACCACACACAAUGGGGACGUUACCCGUCGCCCACAGGUUCUCGCUCGCCUCGGCCUUCCUGCCGCGCCACCGCCGGCCAUCGCCGUCCGCCCCCAACCGGCGCCGGCGGCAUGGAACGGUGGUGGCGUACAUGGAGCCGAACCCCAACUCGCCGUCCUCCAUCGCGGGCCGCCUCAUCGGGGCUCUCCCCGUGGUGGGCCUCGUGGCGCGCAUCCUGAGCGACGAGGGUGGCGUCGGCGGCGACAUGAUCGACUUCGCCGAGUUCCGCCGCCGCGUCAGCAAGAAGUGCACCGUCAUGGACUCCCAGGCCUUCUACGAUUUCAACGAACGCCGCGGCAAGGUACCCGUCGCUCCUCUCGCCGUCGAUUUCUUCUUCUCAAUGCCAAAAAUGAUGCAAAACCAAGCAGAAAUGCCAAAAAUGUUCUUUUAAUUGAUUUGGUGAGCAUAUGUUCCGUUGUUUGACAGGCAGGAGAUCCCUUCUACGUUCUGCUGUGCUGCUGGCUGGCCGCCGUUGGUGGCGGGCUGCUGAAAACGGAGGAGAUCUUGGAAGGCGUCGCGCGGCUCCGCCUCUCCAACGACAUCGAGUUCGAGGAGGAGACGUUCCUCGACAUGAUGAAGACGGCAAAGGAGGUAGCCAUGCUUAAUUCAGCAACUUUUCUGGAAGAACAUGUCCCUGCACUGCAAAUUUGAAUGCAUACUAUAUGUCCUAUAAAUUGGUCCCUAAGAGAAGAUGAAUUUUAUUGCAGAAAAGAGCAAAGCUGAAGGCUCCGGCGCCACAGAUACCAAUGGAAGCGCGGGCGGAGAAGGCCCUGGAGGCCAUCUACGUGUGCUGCUUCGGGCAGGACAUGGUGGAAGACGUGGACGUGAAGCUGCUGUGCAAAAUGCUGAACGCCGUCUUCCCCUCCGUCGGGAGGCAGGCGGUCGAGAGGAUAGUGACCUCCAUGGCGAAGCAGGUGGCUGCCGGCGAGAGGAAGGGCCCCGGCGUCAAGACCGUGUCCAAGGAAGCAGCGCAGCGGCAACUCAAGGACCUGGAAUUUCUCAAGCAGAACAAGUUGGAUUCGGCAUGAGCAUUGUGCAGAACACAUUGGGAAAUUUUGUCAGAUAGACGUCGUUUUUAGGCCAAGAAACAGAAAUUGCAUGGCUUACUUGGCCGUGUUUGUCAUAGACCGAGUUUUCUCCUAAGAUGUGCUAGGAAGGUCAGCUAUCGUAGGGAAAUAGAAAUCAGCAUAGAUUGCAAGUUUGCGACACAGUUGACGCAGGCCAAACAAUGGUCUCGGUUCAUUAGAAUUGCAAUGUGAGUGAGCUCAGAACCUUGUAAGAUGAAGUUGUACGUUGUGACAUGCUCAGAAAAUGUCUACUGCUACAGUACUUUUUAAUGCUACAUGUGUUUACUAAGAAUAAAAAUGUAACAGACGUGGCAUCGUUUAAGAUGGCAAAACCAACAGGUGCAUUACUUUCUACUAUCAUCAAAUCUAUAUUAUCGUCUGUACUUACUGUAAUUUAAGCCAAAUAUUUUUCAAAAUGACUCUCUAAACGUAUAAUGAAGUACUUUUUGUUAUGCAUUUAACAUUAUCACUUUUAUGCUAUGUAAUUAAACAUGAAUUUAUAUCAGUCAAAGUUUACACUAAAACACGUACAAAGAUUAGUAAGUCGAGCAACAUUUUGUUCUAAACUGGGUCAUCCUGGGCCGCCUAACGGGCCAAACAUCACGGUCAGCGAAUUCCGGAAGCCCAUUACAUCACACCCAUCCAUGGAAGCCUGACACGUGUACUCCGGUCACGCGCGUAGCCCAAACCACCACAAGGGCCGCGUCGGUGGCGGCGUCCAGGCCGCCCGGAACAUCUCGCCGUCGGAACGACGAGGCGGCGCGGCGGCUCGCGGUGUCCGGGCGGAUCCACGAGGGAACGGCCCCUCCGAGGUCGCAGCGAUGCCGGUGAGGCGGCGGCAGCCGCGGCGGAGGGAGACGGGUGCGGCGGAGAGGUACAGGGAGAUGGGGAUAUCGGCCGCGCUGUCGCGGCCGUGGGACUACCCGACGGCGUGCGGCGAGAUCGCCGCGCUCCUCCGAAUCGGGUACGGCGACCUCCCCAAGGCCGCCCAGGCUCUCGUCGCCGGCGACGUGCUGCUCGCGUUCCGGCUCCUCCCUGAGUAAGCCCCUUUCUCUUCCAAGCUCGUGCCGCUCCCCAGAUGUGCACAAUUCUGACGAAUUUCCAGUGAUUUUGCACUGUUUCUGUCUAGUGGAACCAGCUCUAGCCCUCUAGCAACUCGUGAAGAGGCAUUGCUUUCUUAUGUUGAUCUGUCCAAUUAUGAAACUUUGUUUGAGCGGGUAGGCACCAAGCUCGAUCAAUUAAAGCACCGAUCCCUUACAAAUUGUGAUUUUGAGCAUACACGCUUAUGCGCAAUUUCUCCAGAUAAUGUGUCUGUCGAUGGCUAUGUCUAUAACAGCCGCGUCCACCUCACUAUCCCACUGACCUGUUGAAUUUUAAGGUCAUGACUCGUGCAUAGUUCGAAUUUGUUGGAAAAUUGUGUACUUUUAGGUCAUGCAUUGUUAGAUUUUUUUUGGAAAUGUGUCGUGCUUGUCGCUCAUAAAUUCAUGAUGUCUGGUUAGGACUUGUGAUUAUGUGUUCUAUUAUAGAAGGCAUAGAACUAAAGACGAAUGGCACGCAAAUGCUCACUUAGCAUGCUAUGUUUCUGGCUUAAUGUCAUUGUUCUAUUAUAUUGGCAGUUGGCACACAGGAGCUUGUAUUAACUCAUUUUACCCGGUAGUGUACAGACAGGAUAUGCGUUAAGCGCAGCUAAUGGUCUUCUCCAAGCUGUAGACGGUUCCCUACCAAAGCAAAAGAAGGCACAGGCUGUUUCAGAGUUCAAGCGUUCUGUUGUUGCACAUAAGCGGCGUGCUAGGGUUCAACAAGAUCCAGGUAUGUGACAGGCUCCUGUCAAGUGUGUUGUAUGAUGUGCAUUUACACUAUCAUGCUUACUGAUCUGUUAGGAUGGUAAACAACGAUUUAGAAACUGGUAAAUGUUGUCUGUGCUUUCAACCUUCAUCAUUUUUCAAUUGCUAGGAUAGAUUUCGGCAGUUUUUAAACUAAUUUACCUACUGAAGCUGCAGUGUCCUGUCAAGAUUUAAAAGAACAAAUGUACAAAUAUUUACUAACUAAUGGCAGUCAUCGUGAUGCGUUGUUUUGUGCCCAUUUUGCAGGUGUACCACAUAUACCAUACGAUGUGCUUGUUCAUAUUUUCAGUUUUCUUGACAUGCGCUCCUUGGUAGCUGCUGGUCUUGUCUGCUGGUAUUUCUUUUUUCUCUUGUCCGUGUAAUUCAUUAAGCAUUACUUUAUUGUUGACAACUAUCUAUCUUUCUUAGAAGGCCUUGGAAUUCUGCUGCAAAUGACAACCACCUGUGGGAAAUGAAUUACUCCCUUUUCUUCGGCAUCUGCCAUAUAAACUGCAAUAGCACACCUACAGCUGGUAAUGUACAGAACACUGAUUAUCAUGUACAGAAUAGCAUUUAUCAAGUAUCUCCGGAUCCUGGUUUUAACUGGAAAGAGGCUUUCCACAAAAAGUAUGCAGGUAAGGCUAUUCUAUUGUAGAUAAAUUUGAUAAACUACAUUAACUUAUUCCCAAAGGCUAAAAUAUCAUUCAUUACAGAACAAGAAACAUGGAGUUCCGCAUCAAAUAGAGCAUUAUGUGGAUAUUGCCGAUCUGUCAUUUGGUUGUGCGACUUGACGUGUGCUACUCCACACUAUUGCCUUAAUAAUGGAAAAGAUGGAGUAAAACUAGGACCUCUAUUACCUCAUACAGUAAGUACUUUUAUUUAUUGUUAAUAGUAGUGUUUUAUGAUAGUUUUGAACCCAACAGAUAGAUAAUGAAGUCUAAAAUUCACUGCUCAUUUCAUUGCAGCAACAAUUUUUAAAUGUUAAAAUUUAAUGUUUUUUCCCUUCUUCACUACAAUGUGCUGACAGCAUUGUUUUAUACUUUCCUGAACAAGGUUGCUGACUACAUAUUGGACAUCGCUGAUCUAGCAGCUUCAUCGACAGAAAGUGAUGAUACAGAUAGCGAUUCUGAAAAUUAUCCCCAGGCACGCUUUUGGUCGUUGUCAUAGUAAAAGGAAAACAAUGUAUACAUCGACUUGAGAUGUGGAUUGUGAACUUGUUAUAACUCUUUAAUUUCUGGUAGUUUUCUGAGUGUGGUAUGUGCAUCGUUGGUAGCGACUGAAUGAAACGGCACACCGAGUUAAAACUUAGAAGUAUAAGCUAAUAGAAAAGCUCUAUCAUUAUAAGGUAUACCCACCGUACAAAAUGGAAGCCAAAUAACUGUAUGACGCACCACGCACCCUAUAGAGCCUUAAGACUAUUGUUUUUGAAGAAUGGAUGCUCACUAUAGUACUUAAAAAAACUCAGGUAGCAUAACCCAUCCAUAAGAAUCGUGCAUUUGGACAUUAUGGAGGCCAAAGCAAAACAACUCCUACUCAACGGUCAAACCUCUGGAUUAGCCUACAUCAAACAACCACUUUACCAUAGGUCCCAAGCCUUUCAAAUGGAAUACCAUAAAGAUAAGUCACAUAUUGAUAGCACUUAGUACCAACAGCUUCCAGGGGCGGAAGUUGAGUUAAACAUGAGUUUGAAAACAGGAUAUAGAUAGAGCAUGCUGGCAUAAUUCGAAUUCAUUGAAGUUCAGCACAUCGCAACUACUAGCCACACCAAAAUGUAGGUAUUUACUAUCAGUAAAGGCAUGGAAUCGUAGCCAUCCUUUAAAACCGACAAUUAGUGAUCAGGCUGGAUGAUAAAUUAGCAUAGUACCUUCUACGGCUCAUCCUACAAUUUCUAAUGCUUCUUGUUUUUCAACGGACCCUUGGGGAUCUUAGAGAGGCAUUUCUCAUCGAAAAUAGCAUAGUACUUCUUCAGUUCGAUCAUGGCCUUCUCUCCAAAAGCAUCGAUUUGGUCCUCAUACUUCUCAUACAGAACAGGCACGGUGUACAGUACCAUAAAGACUGCAAGAAAGAAAACUGUAGUUGGUAACAGUGCUAAAUGUGGUAACUUGUACAGUUGUUGUACCAAAAUAAUUACCUAUGUAGAACAAGGUCAGGAAAUUGCAGCAGCUCCCAAGAACAGAGAGAACCCAGAGACCCACGACAACCUUAAUAAAGAGGACCAGCAUAAGCAAAUUGAGCAUGUCGAAGAGAUACCAUUAAACAAUGAAGGCUUAAAAAAGGUAAUCAUGUUGCCAAUCUGACAUACAAUCAGAAAUUUCUUCAGGUCAUGCCCUUGACCAAUCUCCCUCAAGGUAGCAAAGCCCCUAUUGAUCUCAAAUCUCAGUGAGCGAGCAACAUUAACAGCCAGGUCCUCUGGGAUCUUCACUUCAGGAAUGUUAGGAGGGGACCUAAAAAAAUUGCAAGACAGAAAUUACAGCCACAAACUAAACAUAUUCACCAUUUAUGCAUUCCACAAACUCAACAUAUUACAGCCACAAGCUUAGAACGUGUAACAUUCCAGGCAUUGUGACCAUCGACUACAGAUCCACAAAGUAACAGGGCGAUAAAAGUAAGUCCCAAGGAGCAUUAUCACAAUUACACAACAUCCAUCUACAGGCCAAUAAAAAACUACUAAUACAUUAUAAGUUAACAUGCCGAUAAAAGGAUGUCCUAAGAAGCGUUAUCACAAUUACACAACAUUCAUCUACAGGCCAAUAAAAAACUACAUGAAGUUAACAUGAUAAGGUAUCACAAUUACACAACAUUAAUCUAUAGGCCAAUAAAAAGCUAGAUCAAGUUAACAUGCCACUGACAAUUUAAGUUUGAUAUGUUGUGAAUAACAGUUGAAGUUACAGGAAGCUCACUUGUUGAUGAAAGUUGAGGCAUUGGACCAGAGGAAGAGCAUGGCCAGGGUGAGGAUGAUACAGUGGCACAACAGGGUGAGGAGAUGAUAAUCCAUGACUUCAAACAGCAGCCAGAUGGCCGUGGCGCCAGCGAGUACCCCAACGGAGAUUUUCUUGUUCCUCCAUAGAAAGAGAUCAGCAGCUGCAACCACAAACAUAAGCACAUCAGAGGAGAGCAAAUCCCCAUAUAAACAAUAAGAUACCCAGCUACACUACCAAACAAAGAAUCUCAGGGUUUAAGCAUAAAGGAAUAUAGCGCAUCAACAUCACCGCUCAGUUACUAUUCUAUUGCAUUUAAAUCCCAACCUAGAUGCGAAAUCUACACGAACAAAUACUAAUCUGAUCACAACCUACUCACAUUGUGGCGAAAACGCAGCAUAAAUUUGACUUCAGAAAUCACGGAUCGCGACGUUCUCCACACGCUCGUAGUUCCGGGAGAAAGUACAACAAACGAGCCCCACUCAGAAAAAGCGGAGCGAAAACCCCGAUGCGGUCGGAUCUACACGCUCGCAAGAACACAGACGCCUACAAGCGAAAAAGAGCUUUAAGCUUUGGGUCUUACGCUUGCCGCCGCCGAGGACGGAGUGGACGGGCUUCUCGCGGCCGAAGAGGCGGUAGAUCUUGGCCUUCAAGUCGGCCGUCCUCUCCCCGUCGGAGUCCGACGACGACGACGACGAGCCCCCGCGGCCGUGGAGCUUGUCGGAGAUCUUGUCCAUCACCGACUCCACCAACGACUCCUCCUCCUUGUGCUCCGCCAUGGCUAGCUGCUGGCUCUCUCUCUCCCCCUCUUCUUCUCCCUCCUCGCUCGAACAGUCGAACUCUUCUUUCUUUUUUUUUUCGCACGAACUCUUUUUGCCUUUUUGCUUUUCUUUUUCCUCCUUUUCUCCGUAGUCGUGGCGUUGGGUUUUAUGCGCGGAGUGAGGCGAUCCUGGCCGUUGGAUCGGGCACGAUCAACCGCGUGAUUAAGUCCUGCGUUAACCCGGCGAAGUAAUUGGCGCGGUUAAGCGUGGUAAUAACUCCUCGAGACGACGGGUAAUUAGCGCUAAUCGGCUUGCACGCGCAGGGAGGGCCCACCUGUCAGCGAUCGUGUGGGACCUCUGUUGGGGUUUAGCACGGGGAAGUAAUGAAGGGGGUGGAGAUCACGAGGAGGUUACUGGCACCGUGACGAGUGACGACGCGUGGCGUGCCUGCGCUUUCGCCGGCAUCCGUCCGUGGGGAGGGGUCGUGGGCGCGUCCGCGCGUGUUCCUUCCAACAACUCCAAAGAGUCCAAGGGGAAGGGAGCUAGUGGGCGAGUUAGAAGCUUCUAGACGAAGGUGCGGAGUUUGAAAAGGAGGAGGAUUUUGUGGUGUGGGCCUGGCUGGCUGAUUCUUGCGGGCCAAGUCCAGGUUAGGCUCAAGUGCUCUCGUAGGCUCGUAGCCCAGUGUCUCUUCGGAAGGCAUCGCAAAGGCAAAGGGACAAAGUGUACCAUCAGUUGUGUGGGCGACACUGUUACGUAGUCCCUCCGUUUUAUACAUUAUACGGAAGAUGUUUUAGUCUCUCUAUGUUUCAUCUAAACUCACUAAGAGCAGGUACAAUAGCAGGCUAUAAGCCAGCUAUAAACAUAUUUUAAAGAGAUAAAGGAAGAGAGAGAAAAGCAGCGGGCUACAGAUCUGUAACUAGCUGCAGCACGGACUCCAUGACGUAAUGUGUGUAUGACAGGUGGGACCAAGUAUUAAUAGUAUAGUAAGUAACUAUUGUAUGAAUUGGCUAUAGAAGAUUUGGAGCUAGCAGUGGGCUGCACUAUUGACCUUGCUCUAACAUUUAUCCAAAAUAUCUUAUAAUGUAAAACAAAUAAAGUACGAUUUAGCUUUUUUUUAAGUAUAAUGGUGUAUAUAGCCGGCCUAGAUCUUAUUAUACUCUUUUGUGUCAUCUAAUUGCGACGAUAAACACUUAAAACCCUUUUGUGUUACAUGCAAAUACGUAAUAGCAUAUGCUAUUACUCCAGGCUGGCAUGGCCGAUCACUAGUCUAUCAUGUCAUAUUUACAAACGAGGCAAAGAUACCGAUAAAUAAAUAUGUGCCUAUCGACAACUGAAUAUCGAAGUCGUUGUAGUGUAGUGGUGAGUAUUCCCGCCUGUCACGCGGGUGACCCGGGUUCGAUCCCCGGCAACGGGGAAUUUUUUUUUUCCCCAAUUAUCAUGUGCUAUGCUAUAUUGAUCUUCUCAUCAACGCGUGGAUUGGAAUGCGAUCCCUCUCUAAAAGCCAUGGUAUAUCCUCAUGCAGUCAACUAGUGGAGGAGGCCGAGAUAUAUAUUAGGAAAAAUCUUAUUUUGCUUCCCUUUACAAUAGCCCAAAUCUGGUUUCCAUUUCUUAACCGCAAAUCAAAUAUGAAAUCUCCCACAACUGUUAAGACUGGACCAAUUUAAGUAUUUAACUCUCGUCAAUUUGAAAAGCGGUUUCAUCCCAUGUGUCGCCUGAUUUCCAUUUCUUAAGACUAGACCAAUUUACCACUAUCGUUAAUUUGAAAGCCGUUUCAUCCUACGUGUCAGUUAUAUGAUACAUUGACCUUAUCUUUAUCCUAUACGGCUACGUGGUGUUUAUGUGACACUAUAAAGAAAAAAAAAACACUAAUGUGACACACAUGUCAAUGGCAGUCCGAUUGAAAAAAAAAUCAAAUAAAAACAAAAAAUAUGGCCCCACAUGAUCCACUAGUGGCAGGAGAGAUAUUGAGGAAGGGGAGGAAGAAAUAGAGUCCCGGCCAUGUAGGUUCCACUGUUUUUUUUUUCUAAUAGAAAUACUAUGUACUCCCUCCGUUUCAAAAAGAAAAUCUAGCACAUCCUAUACUACGAGUAUCAUCUAGAUGCCACAUCAAAUGAAAUCGUUGUCCCCUGUCCAAACUACCCCAAGAGAGGGAAAACGAACCGGUUGUUAAAUGAAUAAACCUCCGCAUUCGAUUGUAUGGAUAAACGAUGAAAGUUGGAGUGGGGGAGAUCAAACGGACGUUUUGCACGAUAUUACGACAUUUCCAGGUUUCUAAGCUCUAAAAAGGCCCAAUCGAUCAUGUGACCUUCGUACAUAGCCUACUAGGAACUAACUACUCGAUCCCGACCCAGCUAACAAAGUCUGUUUCCCUCCCUCAUCUCUUCUCCCGAUUGAAUCGCAUCCCUCAACCGUAAAACUAGGUAUAACGCCUCCUACUAGGGUUUCCCAAACUGCCGGGGCUAGGGUUACCGCGCCCCGGCGGUAAGCACGGUUACCGCGCGGUAACCGUACGAAACCGUGCAAAAUUUAUCAAAAAUUCAAAUUAUUUUUUAAAUUUAUUUGAAUUUAAGAAGGUUACCGCGGUUUUUCUAUUACCGUACCCCCGCGAUAAGGCCGGUAACAGUGGUAACCGCGCGGUUACCGACGGUAAGUCGAACCCUACCUCCCACAUUUUCAAAAACCGGUGCAAAUCGACUUCUUUGAUGUUAGGAAACGUUUUUCGCUGACGUGGCAGGUUGACUCGCUGAGUCAGUAGAUGGGAGGCUCUCGGCGCGUGCAAGGGAAGAGGGGAGCAUGGUGAGGGUGCGCCAGCCAUCCAUGUCAAUGCGCCAAGCUCGAUCUUGACCACUGUCGCGCUGCUUGCAACGGGCUCAUCGAGCUCUACCUCACGCGCGAUGAGCUCGCCUCCAUGGGCACUCCUCGACAAGUUCCCAGUCGACUAGGACAUCGUUUCCUACGUGGCCAUGGUGACCGCCCACGCAAAGCACGGGUUCUUCAACAAGGUUGUGCUGCUGUUCUUGGCUUCGCCAUGGUGGAUGAUUGCAACGUGUCCAUUGCUGCUCUUGGUGUGCAAGUAGAUCAAGGACCUGCGGUGGGCCAAUCGUCCUCAGAUCUCUAGGCGGAGAGCGAUCUCGCUAGCCGUUAGGUCCUACCCACCACUACCUAGCGAGUCGACAUGAGGGUUGGCGAGGAGAGGGGUGUUGGCCGACACAUGCUGGGGGCUCAUGGCAUUGUCAAGGCUACCUACCCCGCUAUCGUCCCCUGCGCUGAAACGUUGGCCCUCAUGAGACGAGGCUCCGUCGCCAGCCCUAGGAGGGUUCACUUGUGACAUCACCCCCCCCCCCCAACAAUGAUCUCCAGUCCAAUGCCUAGAAGGUUGACCUCCUUGCACCCUUCUCCUCUCUCCACGACAUGCUCUGCUACCGUGAAGAUUGUCGUCCUCUUCGGCUCCCAUACCGCCGACAACACCCACUACUCCUUCUUCCCUGAGCUCUCGCGUCCUCCUGCACCACCACAACCUCCCAAGCUCUCGUCCCGACCUCGUCGAGCGCCUCGCCGGACUGCCUUCCUCACCGGCUGCUACUACCGCCUUAUCGCUGCCUUGCUACCAUCGGGAGAGAUGGAAAAUAGAGUAGUCCCUGACACGUGGGUCUUACACUCUUAUCUUACUUGCUUACUCACCGAGUCAAUCAUGACCAACCUGUCACAUUAGAAAAAAAAACGUUUCCUAAACCAUCGAAGAAGUCGAUUUGCACCAGUUUUUGUCUUGGAGAGGCGUUAUACCCGGUUUUGCGCUUGAGCCUUGAGAGAUGCGAUUCAAUCAUAAGCAAGAUAAGAAGGGAGUUAAAAUAGACUUAGUCAACCAGCAAAUGUAUGUCCCUUUGUCAGACUUGGAUAUUCCCAGCCCAUUAAUCUCUAGUCUGGUCUCCUCGGUCCGCGCGCUGAGAAUCGCCAAAACCUAUGUGGCCCAUCAUCCGCCGGUCCGUGUGGCCUUCCAAGGAGAGCGACGCGGCGAAAGCCUCACGCGUUUCGUUCCCCCCUUGGCCCCCUCCCCGCUCACUCACCCAGCCGCUCCCUCGGCUCGGCAGCGAGCGGCAGAGGAAACCGGCAAACCGCGGUGCGCGGCACGGCGCGCGUCCUGCACUCCAGCUCCGCGCCAUAACUGCGAUCCCCUCCUCCUCGGCCUCCCCCUCCUCACCGGCAAUUAAUGCCGCCAACUACCAGAUCCACCCCUCCGGAAACCUAAAACAAAAUACCCCUCUUCCCGUUUUGCCCCUCCUCGGCUCUUCUCCCACCCCAGCCGCGCCCCCCCGCACGCCAUGCCAUUCCGCCCCACGGUCUCGCCGCCGCCACCGCCGCCGCCG